GAUGAACGCUGGCGGCGUGCCUAAUACAUGCAAGUCGAGCGAACAGACGAGGAGCUUGCUCCUCUGACGUUAGCGGCGGACGGGUGAGUAACACGUGGAUAACCUACCUAUAAGACUGGGAUAACUUCGGGAAACCGGAGCUAAUACCGGAUAACAUGUUGAACCGCAUGGUUCAACAGUGAAAGACGGUCUUGCUGGCACUUAUAGAUGGAUCCGCGCCGCAUUAGCUAGUUGGUAAGGUAACGGCUUACCAAGGCAACGAUGCGUAGCCGACCUGAGAGGGUGGUCGGCCACCCUGGAGCUGAGCCACGGUCCAGACUCCUGCGGGAGGCAGCAGUAGGGAAUCUUCCGCAAUGGGCGAAAGCCUUGCGGAGCAACGCCGCGUGAGUGAAGAAGGUCUUCGGAUCGUAAAACUCUGUUAUUAGGGAAGAACAAAUGUGUAAGUAACUGUGCACGUCUUGACGGUACCUAGUCAGAAAGCCACGGCUAACUACGUG
RNAcentral lists this ribosomal RNA (497 nucleotides) under uncultured bacterium. Its description in RNAcentral is "partial 16S ribosomal RNA". It matches the Rfam family "Bacterial small subunit ribosomal RNA", at positions 28 to 507 of the family's 1533-position model. The record is from RNAcentral.